GGUGGUCGAAUGAUGAUUACAAAGCAUAGUUCAGAUGAAUCUCUGUGAUUAUCACAUUUAAGUCUUUCGCUCCUAUCUGACGACCAAC
This is a non-coding RNA of Morus notabilis, 88 nucleotides long. Lineage: Eukaryota; Viridiplantae; Streptophyta; Magnoliopsida; Rosales; Moraceae. The record is from Rfam.